UCCGUUAAUAAAGGCAUC
RNAcentral lists this microRNA (18 nucleotides) under Ciona intestinalis (vase tunicate). RNAcentral describes it as "cin-miR-4129-3p". Lineage: Eukaryota; Metazoa; Chordata; Ascidiacea; Phlebobranchia; Cionidae. The record is from miRBase by way of RNAcentral.